Long non-coding RNA from Oncorhynchus tshawytscha (Chinook salmon), 613 nucleotides. Lineage: Eukaryota; Metazoa; Chordata; Actinopteri; Salmoniformes; Salmonidae. The record is from Ensembl.
GGUGCAGGGUUGAGGCUAGGUGCAGGGUUGAGGCUAGGUGCAGGGUUAAGGCUAGGUGCAGGGUUAAGGCUAGGUGCAGGGUUGAGGCUAGGUGCAGGGUUGAGGCUAGGUGCAGGGUUGAGGCUAGGUGCAGGGUUGAGGCUAGGUGCAGGGUUGAGGCUAGGUGCAUGGUUGAGGUGCAGGGUUGAGGCUAGGUGCAGGGUUGAGGCUAGGUGCAGGAAUGAGGCUAGGUGCAGGGUUGAGGUGCAGGGUUGAGGCUAGGUGCAGGGUUGAGGCUAGGUGCAGGGUUGAGGCUAGGUGCAGGGUUGAGGCUAGGUGCAGGGUUGAGGCUAGGUGCAGGGUUGAGGUGCAGGGUUGAGGCUAGGUACAGGGUUGAGGCGCAGGGUUGAGGCUAGGUACAGGGUUGAGGCGCAGGGUUGAGGCUAGGUGCAGGGUUGAGGUGCAGGGUUGAGGCUAGGUGCAGGGUUGAGGUGCAGGGUUGAGGCUAGGUGCAGGGUUGAGGUGCAGGGUUGAGGCUAGGUGCAGGGUUGAGGCUAGGUGCAGGGUUGAGGCUAGGUGCAGGACCAGGGUUAGAGUUUAUACCAGGCCAAUGUCUGUCCGUAGAUGAGUUCCA